CAGAUUGUCUGGCAGGAGGGCUGCAGGUGGGGUGGCCGGGCAGGCUCCUAAUACUAAGAGCUAAUGUGUACUGACAGAAUAUGAGAGUGCUAUGUAGCAAGCACUCUCCUGGGAAAGUGGGGCCUAUAGAUGGGAGGCACCACCCAAUAUCACCCAGCUCUAGAGGGAUGGCAGAGACUCACACCGGGGAAUGUGAGACCAGAGCGAGAUUAACUAGCAUUCUAACGAGAAGGCAGAGUCAGGUUAUGGACUGAGACCCCCACAACCUGGUAGGCGGGGUUCACUCAGUCCAUUCCUGACCAGCAAAAGCCAAACACAAAAUGUGUUGGACUGAUGCCCACGAGGACCAGACCAGGAACCGGGAUUCCCCCCAGUCCUCUCAGCUCGCCCCAGUGAUGGCAGCUGGACCUGGGAGGCUGUCCGUGUGCCUGUCACUUGAGAGGCAGAGAAGGACAUGCCAAGUGUCUUGUCACCAACACCUGACUCUGAGCACCAUUCAAAUGACAGUAGCCCUUGUCCCCUGCCCAGCUACCUCUGCUACUUGAGACCUUGGGCCCUCUGAGGUUAGGACAGUGGGUUGGCCUGUAGGCAGGGAGGGAGAACAGUGUGUCGCUGGCUGCAGGCUCCGCACCGACUGUUACAGAAUCCGUUAUGCGUUCCAUUUGGUCAGUGUGGACAGCUAGUGACAGUUACAGCAAGGACAGUUACUUUCAGUACAUCUGUCCUGAAAUUAAGUUUGGUCACUCGAAAAGGUGACCAAACUUGAUUUCAGGACAGAUGUACUGAAAAGUGAUCAGUGUCAAGAAGUCCAGUCAACUUAUAAUUUACAUGGAAUUUUUUGUAAUGUGCCCAGAGCACAAGGAAGGCACAAGUGUCCAAGUGAACUGGAGAACUAGAAUUCUGAGGUGAGCCUGUGUCUCCAGGUCACCACUGUUCACUUGGUUACAAGAGCCCAUCUCCAAAAUAUGUGAUCGUGUUCCUCCAGAGGUUACUAAAUUUACUAUCUCAAAUAAGCUGGUUGAUUGGAAAGAUCAGGUAACAAAAUCAAAUAUAUAUCUUUAGAUCUGUGCAUAUUUUUGUCAUUUAAUUUUCAAAUUAAGUUUCUUUUACUUUCACAUUUCAAAUAUAACAGUAACAAUAAUUAUUCACAAUUGGGAAAUUAUUCUGUCAGAGUAAAGACUUUUAAUUACAAGGUUUAAGACACUUCCAGAAUGAGUUUAAUAUUCAUGGAGCAAAUUUCGGUCACUGGAAUAUAAUACCAGAAAGAUUAUAUUCAGGCCCAUAUAAGUCAGAGAGAGAGGCCUUUGCACAGGUGUGAACUACUGGCUCUGGAAGACCAAGUGGUGUGAUGACCCUGCACUGCCAACAAAGGCCAUGGAUGGAAGGCACUGGACACACUGCCUGGACCAUAGAAAUGAUCCGCAGUACACGUGGGCCACCGCAAACACAUAAGCUGGCUGCUCCGUCUGUGACCACCACAAUUACCAGUGAAUAAAAUUAGGGCUGGUAAACACAGUCAUAAUACCAAGAAAUUAACAAUUCUAAAAACCAAUUUUCCCCAUUAAUUCAACUGCUUGGUUUAUUAAGGCAUAACAUUUAAAUGCAGACUCAGAAAAACUAAAAAUAUCUCAACACCUUAUUUUUCUAACUAUCUCCUUUUCCCAUAGGCUAUAUUUCAUUUCAGUCAAAUCAAAAUUAAAUCUGAAUUUUAACAUAGGAAAAGCAAUUCAAAGCACCAUUCCCUGGUGAUUUCAAUUAAUUCCAUCAUACUCUACAUACAAACAGUGAACACUCUUCCAUGAGGGACUGGCAAUUCAACUUGCUCCCUUGUUCUCCACAGAAGCAUCUAGUUUUAUGUUCUCUAACUAGCUUACCUGAAAGCUAAACUGGGUGUGGAUCAGCUGGGAUUACCUAGCUGGCGCGGCUGUUGCUGCUUCUGGACAACCCCACUGUCCACCUCUAGUGGGGACACCAAUGGAGCGUCUGCAAAUCCAAGAAGUUCUGAGAGGCUCUGCACAGGCACGGCGGACAGGUAAGUGUCUCAAAAACAUUUUCAUACCUAGUUCUUUUUUAAAAUUUUGUUUUAGUUAUAGGUAGACACAAUACCUUGACUUUAUUUAAUUUAUAUGUGGUGCUGACGAUUGAACCCAGUGCCUCACACAUGCGAGGUGAGUGCUCUGCUGCUGAGCCCCAGCCCCAGCUCCUAGUUCUGUAUUUCAAUUGAUGGUUUAAUCAGCAUUUAAAGGAAAGAGGAGAGCAAGGUCCAUGUUCUCUUAGGCCACACCAGUCUAGGGAUAAAGGAGAUGAAAGAAGUUUGUAAAGGCCAACAGGAGCUGCCCCUUCACUCUGCUCCACUCUGGUGCUGGUCCCGGCCCUUAUGACACUUGGCCUCCAGCUCCAUUCAGAGUUCAGCUGCCGCUGACCUUCAAGAGAUGGGCCUCCGGUGUUCAUGCAGAUGUUAACCUUCUGGGGAUGCUUUGAGGACCUAGGAAAAGUAAUGAAAUGCUACACAGAGAACACAGAAUUUUGCACACAAUGUGAGGAAUGAGGGAACCAUGAAACCCCCAAAACCUAUCAGUGAAUUCCAGUUGUGAGCCCUAGACAUGAGUUUUUCACAGGAAGGCUCCUUGCUCUCACGUGAACUGAGCGAGCUCAGCCAGACACAGACCCGGGAAAACAUCAACGUGUGUACUUGCCAGGUAUGAUCCCUGCUCAUGCUGUUGGCCAGAGGAGAACUGGCUACAAGGAAGGAGAAGCACUGUGGGUGCAGAAGAGAAAAAGCAGGGGUGGGGACAGGUCAUGCACAAGGCAAACACCAUUUGAAUUUUAAAGUCUUUCAGGAAAUGAAAACACACACACUUUCCAGUGGGGUUCCCAAUUGGCUCUCUUCCCAGUGCAUGGUUCCUGCAGCCUGCAGAUGGGGAUGGAGACGAUGACUCAAAGGUAGAGCAGAGCACAGUGAAAGCAGACAGACAGACCUCUAGUAGACCUUGGACUCGCAGCUCCACAUUUGCAAGGCUGUGGCAGGGCCAUGGUGUGGAAAAGCAGGUCCCUGGGGACCAUGUGGCUGCUUUCUCCCCAUGUAUACUGAGAACUAAAUUCUCUUAUUUUCAUGACUCCUGUCAUCUGUAAUUGUCUAAAACAACUCUUCUCAUUGACAGGGUUUCCUGCAGCCUUUCCUCUACUUGCACUCCACACAUACUGGACUGGACUCCUCUGGCUCUUCCUCUGGCGGUCACUGCCUCAUCCUGCAGCUGGUGAGCUGCACUCUGCACCCCAUAGCAGCACCCCUGUGGUACCUCUGCAAUAGGAUGUCUUGGGUCUCCUCCAAGCACCAAGGCCAGGUGCUGGA
This 3352-nucleotide long non-coding RNA is filed under the name Marmota monax (woodchuck). Lineage: Eukaryota; Metazoa; Chordata; Mammalia; Rodentia; Sciuridae. The record is from RNAcentral.